Molecule: ribosomal RNA, 482 nt
Filed under: uncultured bacterium
Lineage: Bacteria
Description: partial 16S ribosomal RNA
Rfam family: Bacterial small subunit ribosomal RNA
Source: RNAcentral
AUUGAACGCUGGCGGCAGGCCUAACACAUGCAAGUCGAGCGGAUGAAGGGAGCUUGCUCCUGGAUUCAGCGGCGGACGGGUGAGUAAUGCCUAGGAAUCUGCCUGGUAGUGGGGGAUAACGUCCGGAAACGGGCGCUAAUACCGCAUACGUCCUGAGGGAGAAAGUGGGGGAUCUUCGGACCUCACGCUAUCAGAUGAGCCUAGGUCGGAUUAGCUAGUUGGUGGGGUAAAGGCCUACCAAGGCGACGAUCCGUAACUGGUCUGAGAGGAUGAUCAGUCACACUGGAACUGAGACACGGUCCAGACUCCUACGGGAGGCAGCAGUGGGGAAUAUUGGACAAUGGGCGAAAGCCUGAUCCAGCCAUGCCGCGUGUGUGAAGAAGGUCUUCGGAUUGUAAAGCACUUUAAGUUGGAGGAAGGGCAGUAAGUUAAUACCUUGCUGUUUGGACGUUACCAACAGAAUAAGCACCGGCUAACUUCGU